AUGUUUUAUCUUGAUUUUCAUUCAUCUAAAAAUAUUUUCUUUUUUUUUUUUUUAAAGAUUUUAUUUAUUUAUUCGACAGAGAUAGAGACAGCCAGCGAGAGAGGGAACACAAGCAGGGGGAGUGGGAGAGGAAGAAGCAGGCUCAUAGCGGAAGAGCCUGAUGUGGGGCUCGAUCCCACAAUGCCGGGAUCACGCCCUGAGCCGAAGGCAGAUGCUUAACCGCUGUGCCACCCAGGUGCCCCUGAAAAUCCUUUUUUAAUUAAUUAAUUUCUCACUGUCAACUGUAGUUCUCUCCCAGCUGGACACCUGAUUUGGAAAUAAUACCUAUGAAUAUAGGUUAAAUGUGAGUUAAAAGUCAACCUCCUGUAGUCUCAAUCUAUAGGAUCAAUGCGAGAGUCAUUCUGAGGUAUCUGUCUUUCUCCUUGCUAAGCUUUCUGCUCUUGCUCUCACCUCCCAUCUGAGCAGAGGUUCUGAGUUUUUUGUGCCCUCUCGCUAUUCCCAACAUUAGGCCAGAAUAGAACAGAGAGAUAGUGACUAUAGCUAUUUAAGCAGUGGCCAAAUACAGCUUUUGACCUGAUUAAGGAAGUAUAUUAAUGUACUUUUAAAGAGAAGGACGCCAUAUUUCCUUUAACCUCUAUAAUUAUAGCUAAAGUAAAUCGGUUUUGCCUUUCAUCCUUUCUAUUCUUGAUUUUCUAUUGAAUCUCAAGUGGAGCAAAGCUUGCUAUGCUUUUGUAGGACUUUAAAAUUAAGCUUAAAGGGAAAAAAUUUAAAAGCAAUAUUGUGAGGAAAGUUAUUCAUCUUUACUUUUAGAAGCCUCAGAUGACUUGACUGUUUCAACAGGAUUUUCUUUCAAUAUAUCCUAUUCACAAGGGCUAAAGGAAUCUUCUCUAGUAUCACAAACUGAUGGAACCAUGUGUAACCAAGGGACAGCUAUAUGCCAUGGCAAGCAUUUAUUGAAUAUUAGCACGUGCCAGGAACAAUGCUUAGUGGCACUGGGGAAGCAAAUAUGAAUAUGUCCCAUAUCCAUAGCCUUAAAGAACUCACAGCAUAGUUAGGAAAGAAAGUUGUGAAAAAAUAAGUACCAGAAUGAUGGAAGAGGGUAAAGUGAAGUAGGACUUGAAUGGAAGGAGCUAUUGCUUUUUUCUGAGGUACACUGUAAGAAGUCAGGGCAUGCUUCACAGUGCAUUGCAUUAGGACUGGAUAAUAAAGAUCAUAAGAGAUAGUAAUUCUACUAGAGGCACCCUAGAGGACCAGAGAGGGCAGCGGUUGCUGAAAUAGCCUGGAGGAUCUGUUGGGCAUCUUCUAGGAGGUUUUGCAGCACCUGGAACUGGUGUCUCAUACCCACUUUAUAUCUCUAAGCGUUGUUUUGGGUCCUGAGAGCCAACCCACUGUUUUGGUUUCCAUGGAAGAUCCCUUGAACUAAAGAUAUUUCCCAUUGAACUGUUCUCCCCACCUGAGAUCAUUCUACUGCAGUUAUGCCACAUAAUGGAACUCUAGAGAACAUGAGUUGAGGGUCAGUUUUCUUUGAUGCUUGGUUCUGGACAAUUCUGAGCUGAACUGGGAGGGCAAGCAGACAAGAAGCAUCAUGCCUGGAGUGAUAUAAUGCAAAUGUAGCAAUGAUCUGAGGGGAUUUAUGUCCUUAUAUUGAAGAAGUGCUUUCAGGUCUUACAAAUACAGGUAAAUAUAAGCAGUAACAUUUACAUGAGUAGUUUCUUUUUCCUCUUAAUAAGGCCACUUAGCAUAAUGCUUAACAGAUACUAUUCCUCAAGAAAUAUUAUGGAGUGACUUGUUUGGAUAUCAGCUUUUGGCCGAUAGUAUGAAAGUUUCUAUUCUUAAAUAAAUCUAAAAUGCUGUGUAUUUUGGUAUAAAAGUAAAAAAGAAUUAAGUUUCUAGCUUUAAAAACCUUAGACAUCCACCUUAACCAAGUGACCAAGUUAGAAUAACUAGUUACAAUACAUGUCAGUAACAUGAACCCCAGAUUUCAUGCACUGCAUAGAACAUGAUAACUCCUUCUGUGGCCAUAUUAUAAAAGGAAAGACUAAGGAACAAUAUAGAUUGGAGGAGACUGAGUGGGGGGAAGCUAAAUGCAAUGUGGGUUUCUGGAUAGGAUUCUAGGACAGAAAAAGGACAUUAGUGGAAAAACUGGUAAAAUUUGAAUAAGUUCUGUUGUUUAGUUAGUAUUGUACAAUUAUCAAUGUCCUGGAUUUGGUAAUUGUACUAUGACUAAGACGUUAACAUUAGGGGAAACUGGGUGAGGGUGUAUGGAAGGUUUUUUUUUUUUUUUUUUUUAAAGAUUUUAUUUAUUUGACAGCCAGCGAGAGAGGGAACACAAGCAGGGGGAGUGGGAGAGGAAGAAGCAGGCUCAUAGCGGAGGAGCCUGAUGUGGGGCUCGAUCCCAUAACGCCGGGAUCACGCCCUGAGCCGAAGGCAGACGCUUAACGACUGUGCCACCUAGGCGCCCCGUAUGGAAGUUUUUGUACUAUUUUUGCAACUUUUUAUUAAAGUCCAAAAUUAGUUAUCAUUAGUUAAAAAAAACUUAUACCUGUGUAAAUUCCAUCCAAAGACAUACUGGAAAUGCAGAUUUAUUAUUAUUAUUAUUAUUAAUUUUUUACAAUUCGAUAGUUUUAUUAAAUUCGUCCAACUACAGAAAUAGGACACAUUAUGUUUGUUUGUUUGUUUGUUUUGGUGCCAAGGGGGGUUUCUAAAUAAGUCUUUUUUUUUUUAAGUUUUUAUUUAAAUUCCAGUUAGUUAACAUGCAGUGUAAUAUUAGUUUCAGGUGUACAAUGUAAUGACUCAACAUUUCCAUACAAGACUGGUGCUCAUCACAAGUGCGCUCCUUAAUCCCCAUCAUCUAUUUCACCCAUACCUCCACACACCUUCCCUCUGGUAACCAUUUUUUGUUACCAUCUUUGUUUCUUGGUUUGCCUCUCUCUCUCUCUUUCUUUCCUCCUCUUUGUUCAUUUGUUUUUUCUCAAAUUCCACAUAUGAGUGAGAUCAUAUUAUAUUUGUCUUUCUCUGACUGAUUUAUUUCACUUAACAUUAAACUCUCUAGAUCCAUCCAUCUCUUUGCAAAUGACAAGAUUUCAUUUUUUUCGAUGGCUGAGUAAUAUUCUAGUGUGUGUGUGUGUGUGUGUGUGUGUGUGUGUGUGUGUGUGUAUCUUUAUCCAUUCAUCAGUUAAUGGGUGCUUGGGCUGUUUCUAUAAUUUGGCUAUUGUACAUAAUGCUGCUAUUAACAUUGGGGUGCAUGUAUCCAUUUGAAUUAGUAUCUCUGUAUUCUUUGGGUAAAUACUUAGUAGUGAAAUUGCUGGAUUGUAGGGUAGUUCUAUUUUUAACUUUCUGAGGCACCUCCAUACUGUUUUCCAUAGUGACAGUACCAGUUUGCAUUUCCACCAACAGUGCAAGAGUGUUCUCCUUUCUCCACAUCCUUGCCAAUACCUGUUAUUUCUUGUGCUGUUGAUUUUAACCAUUCUGACAGGUUUGAGGUGAUAUCUCAUUGUAGUUUUGAUUUGUAUUUCCUUGAUGAUCAGUGAUGUUGAGCGUCUUUUUAUGUGUCUGUUGGCCAUCUAUAUGUCAUCUAGGGAAAAAUGUCUAUUCAUGUCUUCUACCCCAUUUUUAAUUGGAUUAUUCAUUUUUUGGUUAUCG
This 3642-nucleotide long non-coding RNA is filed under the name Ursus thibetanus thibetanus. RNAcentral's name for it is "lncRNA (ENSUTTG00000001621.1)". The record is from RNAcentral. Lineage: Eukaryota; Metazoa; Chordata; Mammalia; Carnivora; Ursidae.